GUGUUGUUAAAAAGGAGAGAAGGUUAGCACUCCCCUUGAUAAGGACGGAAGAGGUCUUUGACCUAACCAACACAUAUAGGCACUGCUACCUACUUUGUAGCAGACUUAUUUUU
This is a small nuclear RNA of Lineus longissimus, 113 nucleotides long. The record is from RefSeq and is a predicted model, not a curated record. NCBI's taxonomy places the organism in Eukaryota, Metazoa, Nemertea, Pilidiophora, Heteronemertea, Lineidae.